This 78-nucleotide transfer RNA is filed under the name Podarcis lilfordi (Lilford's wall lizard). RNAcentral describes it as "tRNA.Gln". The stretch from base 13 to 70 matches the Rfam family "tRNA", at positions 8 to 63 of the family's 71-position model. From Rfam's summary of the family: Transfer RNA (tRNA) molecules are approximately 80 nucleotides in length. Their secondary structure includes four short double-helical elements and three loops (D, anti-codon, and T loops). Further hydrogen bonds mediate the characteristic L-shaped molecular structure. tRNAs have two regions of fundamental functional importance: the anti-codon, which is responsible for specific mRNA codon recognition, and the 3' end, to which the tRNAs corresponding amino acid is attached (by aminoacyl-tRNA synthetases). tRNAs cope with the degeneracy of the genetic code in two manners: having more than one tRNA (with a specific anti-codon) for a particular amino acid; and 'wobble' base-pairing, i.e. permitting non-standard base-pairing at the 3rd anti-codon position. The record is from RNAcentral. Lineage: Eukaryota; Metazoa; Chordata; Lepidosauria; Squamata; Lacertidae.
GCACCUAGGAGAUAGCUCAGUCGGUAGAGCAUGAGAUUCUGAAUCUCAGGGUUGUGGGUUCAAGUCCCACAUAGGGCA